Long non-coding RNA from Marmota monax (woodchuck), 2518 nucleotides. RefSeq lists it as uncharacterized. The transcript has 3 exons. The record is from RefSeq and is a predicted model, not a curated record. NCBI's taxonomy places the organism in Eukaryota, Metazoa, Chordata, Mammalia, Rodentia, Sciuridae.
AUUUCAGUUCUGUGUAAUCAGUGAGCGGAUUAUUUUAAUUUGGCCCAGUCUCUCUUUCUUUUUCCAGACCCUAACUAGAGGCAAUUCUGUCUCUAUCUAGAUCGCCUAAUAAUGUCCAGUUUGGUGAGCAAAUAUUGGGCUAGUGAGAAGUCCUCUGCGGAAAGUCCAGCUUUUCAAAGGGCACUGGUGACAGUUUUCAAUUCAAUUAAACAAAUACGGUCUGAGUAACUAUUAUGGGCAAAGCACACCCAGACCUAGCGAAGCCCAGACCCAGUUACUAAAGGGGAGAAACAACGGACUAGCCCUCUCAACUUGAGAAGCUUGUAAGCAGACACCUCCUGUGGUUCAGACUCUCCUGUGAUGUGUUAACAGCCAACAGUUGAAUGGCACUCUGCAUACGCAGGAGUAACACGAUCGCCCUCGCCUUGGCUUUGGUCAGCGGGAAGGACUUUAUGUAUGAGUCAUACAAAUGCUUUGCCAGGGCCCGGAGAUCAGCAGACUCGGGGUUCAGCUGGUCGAUAUCACUGGAGAUCUCGGCCAACAGCUUCUCCUUCUCGGCCUGUGGCAUCCGCCCAAACCUGAUGGCUGUAGAGGAAGAGGAAUGACAGGAUGAAUCACUGAAUUACUACUGCUCCUGGGGCCUCUGUUCCCUCCCUGGCCCGAGUUCCCACCGGGUCAGAGCCUCUCCCCUCACUACUCAUCUCAGAAAGUGGUUUCCCUCUACCACUUUCCUCAUGUUUGUAUUUCGUGACCGUAGCCCCGAUGAUCAGUAAAAACUUAAACUGUUCACAUCUUUAAUUAAAAAAGAAAAAAAUAUAUAUAUGUAAUACAUGAUCCUGCCAGGAAAGUCAAAAAGUUUGUUUAGCCCAGGGAAGAAAAUUUAAACAUGAAAUGAUUGGGAGCCAACUCCUAUCCAUCCCUCAAGACCCCGUUUAAAUGUCAUUUUCUUUGGGAGGCUUUUAAGGGCAGCGAAUGAUUCUUUCCCGUGGACUCCACUGGCCCUUGGUAUAUACUCCAAUGAGAGCAAUUUUCACAUUGUGCCAGAAUCAUUAAAUUUACACGCCUAUUUAUCCCACUAUAGAACAAUGUCCUGAAGGCCAGAGAUAGUGUCUUAUUUAUUUUUGUGUCCCCAGGAUGAUCUGCACGUUUCAUGAACUAAAGUAAGGAACUGCGCAGGAUUCAAAGUAGCACAAACAGAGGCUUUGUUCUCAGGGAUUCUGGAGGAUCUGGUUUGCUCCUGUUAACCCAGAGAUACAGACGGUGCUUUAUUUCACUUACCAGGACAGACCGGGCUUUGGCACUUAGUAGGGAGACGUUGAACUUAUUCCCUGAUCAUGAACCCUGUAAUGCUUUGUCAGAAAGACAAUAUCCUAAAAUUUGGCGUCUCGGGGGGUGAGGAGGUGUGAAACCAGAAGGAAAAGAAAGAAGGGCCAGGAAGAACAGUUAAGAGAGGUCAGCAAGCCCUAAGGAGGGGGAAAAAAUAAUCCGCUGGGGCUGGGAGUGUGGCUCAGUGGUAAGCGCUUGCGGAGCAUGUGUGAGGCCCUGGGUUCCAUCCCCAGUUUCUGGUGGUGGGGGGGAAUUGUGGCAUGAAUCUUGGGAAAAAUCACACUUAUUAUAUAAUGAAAUAGAGGUGGCUAAAUCACCACUGUCUGAUUUCAAAGACCCCUAAAUACCGUCUCUUCCCAGAUGCCUAAUGAUUGAGCGUGCCAGGCACUGUUCUAAGCUUUUUGUAAAUUUUUACAGAUAAGAAACUAUAAAUAUACAUAGAUGUUUACAUGCCUAGGAAAGCAUUUCCUUUUUUCCUAGUGGACAAUUUAAAAAGCUUUCAAUAGCCAAAGAUAGCCACUUACUGCGCUUAUUAUGCUGAUAGUCCUGCUUUCUCAUACCUAACAAAAAUAUCCAAAAAUCACUUAAACUUUAAAAAGUCUUUUUUUUUUCUUUAAACUCCUGGGAUUCCAGGGGAAUUCUACCCUUGGGGCUGUAUCCCCAGUCCUUUUUAUUUUUGUUUUGAGACAGGGUCUCUCGUGCAGUUGCUCAGGCUGGCCUUGAACUUGUGAUUCUCCUGCCUCACCCUCUUGAGUCGACAGCCCUAUACCUCUGUGCCCGCCUGAAAAUUAUUUUUAAUCAUGAGAUAUUAAAGCAAGCUAUUUCUCCUAGAAUCUAAAUACAAUGUGAAUUUUCACAAAUAAAGUUCCCAAAAGGCCUAAGUCUUUCUUUUUUUUUUUUUUUUCUCCUUUUUCUGAGACAGGGUAUUGCUAACUUGUCCAGGCUGGCCUCCAACUUGGGAUCCUCCUAGAAAAGGCUGAAUCUUCUGAAACAAUUAUUUGUAUUGUUAAAUGUCUAUGCUACACAUUAGGUCUAGCUGUAAGUGCGACUAGUUAAUGUAGGCGAUUUUAGUAUUUUUAUACAUUGGAGGCUCAGAAAAGGGAUGAAAAAAAUAUAUCUUAUUUGGUGGGACUGAAUUUGCAUACAACAUACAGAAAUCUGAAGUUACAGAGGUAAUAAAAACUUUCAUUUA